AGCGAACGUUAGCGGCGGGCCUAACACAUGCAAGUCGAGCGAGAAAGGGGGCAACCCUGAGUACAGCGGCGGACGGGUGAGGAACACGUAGGUAAUCUGCCCCACGGUGGAGGACAACGGUCCGAAAGGACCGCUAAUACUGCAUACGUUCACCGGGUCCUCGGACCUGGUGAGGAAAGCCUCGCAAGGGGCGCCGAGGGAGGAGCCUGCGUCGCAUCAGCUAGUUGGUGGGGUAAUGGCCUACCAAGGCGAAGACGCGUAGCUGGUCUGAGAGGAUGAUCAGCCACACUGGGACUGAGACACGGCCCAGACUCCUACGGGAGGCAGCAGUGGGGAAUAUUGGACAAUGGGCGAAAGCCUGAUCCAGCCACGCCGCGUGAGUGAUGAAGGCCUUCGGGUCGUAAAGCUCUGUGGGGAGGGACGAACGAACGGUCGAAGAGGCCGGAAUGACGGUACCUCCUUAGCAAGCACCGGCUAACUUCGUGCCAGCAGCCGCGGUAAUCUCGUCUU
This 510-nucleotide ribosomal RNA is filed under the name uncultured bacterium. RNAcentral describes it as "bacterial SSU rRNA". It matches the Rfam family "Bacterial small subunit ribosomal RNA", at positions 30 to 531 of the family's 1533-position model. The record is from RNAcentral.